CGGGACGUAGCGCAGCUGGUAGCGCAUCUGGUUUGGGACCAGAGGGUCGCAGGUUCAAAUCCUGUCGUCCCGACUA
This 76-nucleotide transfer RNA is filed under the name Treponema sp. Its description in RNAcentral is "tRNA-Pro". It matches the Rfam family "tRNA". From Rfam's summary of the family: Transfer RNA (tRNA) molecules are approximately 80 nucleotides in length. Lineage: Bacteria; Pseudomonadati; Spirochaetota; Spirochaetia; Treponematales; Treponemataceae. The record is from RNAcentral.